RNAcentral lists this ribosomal RNA (257 nucleotides) under uncultured bacterium. RNAcentral's name for it is "partial 16S ribosomal RNA". It matches the Rfam family "Bacterial small subunit ribosomal RNA", at positions 524 to 776 of the family's 1533-position model. The record is from RNAcentral.
UACGGAGGGUGCGAGCGUUUGUCCGGAAUCAUUGGGCGUAAAGGGCGCGUAGGUGGCCUGGUCAGCGUGCGGUGAAAGCUCGGGGCUCAACCCCGAGUCGGCCGUGCGAACUGCUGGGCUGGAGCACUGUAGAGGCAGGCGGAAUUCCGGGGUGUAGCGGUGGAAUGCGUAGAGAUCGGAAAGAACACCAGUGGCGAAGGCGGCGACCUGGGGUUGAAACUGACACGUGAGGUGCGAAAGCGUGGGGAGCAAACAGG